UGGUGGUGCUUAAAAUGACAGCAACAACGACCACAGAGCCCACUACUGACAGCACCACGGUAGAAAUGCUGACUCCGGAAUUCGGGCGACUGUCAUCAGGAUGCAGAGGAUCUUCAUCUGCCUGCGGAACAAACAAAGCCAGGUGGACUGGGAGUGCCUUGAGAUUCGGUCUGGUUUAACUCUGGUCCCAAGUUCCUGGCACAGCAUCUGCAGAGCAAGACCUCAAGAGAAAUUGUUGUUGUCAGCCUGUACACUUACGCAUUGCUACCAGUGGCAUAGAAUAAGUCAUGUUUUACCUGUUACGAUGCUCAUCUCUUUGACUGCUUUAUCAGCAUUUUCUCCCAGAGCAAUAAAAUGAAUGAUGGCCCCACUAUUUGUCACCUCUUCAACACAAGUCUUUGCAGAGCUAUCUUCCCCAUCGGUCAGCAGGACGAUUUCAGAUCCAUCUAUUUGGGAGUAAAGGCUUCUAAUUACCUACAAAUAUAAUUAGAGCAUUAUUACAGGUGUUCCUAGAUCAGACAGACUUAUGAAAGAUUAGGAAAAAAUGGACAUAGAAAAUAAAAUGUGCAGAAAAGAAGAGACGGCUUUUUUAAAAUUAUAGAAUCAUAGAAUCUGCAGUCAAUCACCACCAAGGGAACUUAAACAUGGCUUUUUAUUUUCUGUUUGCUUACUGUAAGGAAUGUCUGCUCAGAUGAAUUUUUGGGGGAGCAGGGCUGUGGAAAAUCCUAUUUGAGUUAAAUGACAAUGACAUCUCAGUCUGGGGAACUCAGGGCACUAAAAUAUAAUGGCAGAACGUGGCAUCAAAUAUUUUUCUUUCUUUGACCAGAGUGCCCCUUGACAAGCCUUCAGUAUAUAAAGUCUGUUGCAUAUACAGCUAGAUGCAUUGAGUGCACUUCAAAAAUAAAAUAAAAUAAAAUAAAACAA
Vicugna pacos (alpaca) is the source of this 924-nucleotide non-coding RNA. NCBI's taxonomy places the organism in Eukaryota, Metazoa, Chordata, Mammalia, Artiodactyla, Camelidae. The record is from RefSeq and is a predicted model, not a curated record.